This 298-nucleotide long non-coding RNA is filed under the name Panax ginseng (ginseng). RNAcentral describes it as "long non-coding RNA (PGIN_LNC002724)". Lineage: Eukaryota; Viridiplantae; Streptophyta; Magnoliopsida; Apiales; Araliaceae. The record is from RNAcentral.
UGUAUUGUAGCAACAGUUGUUCCUUUGGAAGCUAUUUCAUGGCCUUCGCCUAUAGGCUCCCCCGUUGCUGCUAUUUCAGCAAGCUUUUUCCUCAGAGGAUUCAGCAUCUAUUCUGUGAACAGAAAGCAGGUCAACAAACAGGAAGAUAUAACUUAAUGAAUUAGCUUUACCUAUUGGCUACAAUUAGUUCAGACUCCAGAAUGUAUGAAUCAGACUGAUAAAUGGGAGGCGUUAUGCAUUCAACUUGCACACCCACUUUUAUGUCCUUAUAGCAACUGCAUCUUGAACAAUAAGAUAG